CCUACGGGUGGCAGCAGUGGGGGAUAUUGCACAAUGGGGGAAACCCUGAUGCAGCGACGCCGCGUGUGUGAAGAAGGUCCUCGGCUCGUAAACCACUGUCCUCGGUGAAGAUAAUGACGGUAACUGAGGAGAAAGCCCCGGCUAACUACGUGCCAGCAGCCGCGGUAAUACGUAGGGAGCAAGCGUUGUCCGGAUUUACUGGGUGUAAAGGGGGCGCAGGCGGUCUUGCAAGUCAGAAGUGAAAGCCACGGGCCCAACCCGUGGACUGCGUUUGGAACUGGGGGGCUGGAGUGAAGUAGUGGUAGGCGGAAUUCCUGGUGUAGCGGUGAAAUGCGUAGAUAUCGGGAGGAACACCAGUGGCGAAGGCGGCCUGCUGGGCUGUAACUGACGCUGAGGCACGAAAGCAUGAGUAGCAAACAGGAUUAGAUACCCGUGUAGUC
This 440-nucleotide ribosomal RNA is filed under the name uncultured bacterium. RNAcentral describes it as "partial 16S ribosomal RNA". It matches the Rfam family "Bacterial small subunit ribosomal RNA", at positions 338 to 795 of the family's 1533-position model. The record is from RNAcentral.